Molecule: ribosomal RNA, 499 nt
Filed under: uncultured bacterium
Lineage: Bacteria
Description: bacterial SSU rRNA
Rfam family: Bacterial small subunit ribosomal RNA
Source: RNAcentral
AUGGCUCAGAGUGAACGCUGGCGGCAGGCCUAAUACAUGCAAGUCGAACGGCAGCACAGCAGAGCUUGCUCUGUGGGUGGCGAGUGGCGGACGGGUGAGGAAUACAUGGGAAUCUGCCCAGUCGUGGGGGAUAACGUAGGGAAACUUACGCUAAUACCGCAUGCGCCCUUCGGGGGAAAGCCGGGGACCUUCGGGCCUGGCGCGAUUGGAUGAGCCCAUGUCGGAUUAGCUAGUUGGCGGGGUAAUGGCCCACCAAGGCGACGAUCCGUAGCUGGUCUGAGAGGAUGAUCAGCCACACUGGAACUGAGACACGGUCCAGACUCCUACGGGAGGCAGCAGUAGGGAAUAUUGGACAAUGGGCGCAAGCCUGAUCCAGCCAUGCCGCGUGAGUGAAGAAGGCCCUCGGGUUGUAAAGCUCUUUUGUCCGGAAAGAAAAGCGCCGGGUUAAUACCCUGGUGUCCUGACGGUACCGGAAGAAUAAGCACCGGCUAACUUCGUG